GCCUGGGUGGCUCAGUUGGUUAAGCAUCUGACUUCAGCUCAGGUCAUGAUCUCACACUCCGUGAGUUCGAGCCCCACGUCGGGCU
Molecule: transfer RNA, 85 nt
Filed under: Felis catus (domestic cat)
Lineage: Eukaryota; Metazoa; Chordata; Mammalia; Carnivora; Felidae
Rfam family: tRNA
About the family: Transfer RNA (tRNA) molecules are approximately 80 nucleotides in length.
Source: Rfam by way of RNAcentral